RNAcentral lists this ribosomal RNA (438 nucleotides) under Desulfobulbus sp. Its description in RNAcentral is "bacterial SSU rRNA". It matches the Rfam family "Bacterial small subunit ribosomal RNA", at positions 1 to 425 of the family's 1533-position model. The record is from RNAcentral. Lineage: Bacteria; Pseudomonadati; Thermodesulfobacteriota; Desulfobulbia; Desulfobulbales; Desulfobulbaceae.
UAACUGGAGAGUUUGAUCCUGGCUCAGAACGAACGUUGGCGGCGUGCUUAACACAUGCAAGUCGAACGAGAAAGUUCCUUCGGGGACGAGUAAAGUGGCGCACGGGUGAGUAACGCGUAGAUAACCUGUCCAGGUGUUUGGGAUAGCCCUUCGAAAGGGGGAUUAAUACCGAAUACGUUGAUUUGUCAUAAGGCAGAUCAAGAAAGGUGGCCUCUAUUUAUAAGCUAUCGCAUUUGGAGGGGUCUGCGUACCAUUAGUUUGUUGGUGGGGUAAUGGCCUACCAAGACAUCGAUGGUUAGCGGGUCUGAGAGGAUGAUCCGUCACACUGGCACUGAAACACGGGCCAGACUCCUACGGGAGGCAGCAGUGAGGAAUAUUGCGCAAUGGGGGAAACCCUGACGCAGCGACGCCGCGUGAGUGAGGAAGGCCUUCGGGUCG